GAAAUGCGAUAAGUAGUGUGAAUUGCAGAAUUCAGUGAAUCAUCGAAUCUUUGAACGCACAUUGCGCCCUUUGGUAUUCCAAAGGGCAUGCCUGUUCGAGCGUCAUUUGUACCCUCAAGCUUUGCUUGGUGUUGGGCGUCUUGUCUCUAGCUUUGCUGGAGACUCGCCUUAAAGUAAUUGGCAGCCGGCCUACUGGUUUCGGAGCGCAGCACAAGUCGCACUCUCUAUCAGCAAAGGUCUAGCAUCCAUUAAGCCUUUUUUCAACUUUUGACCUCGGAUCAGGUAUGGAUACCCGCUGAACUUAGGC
This 307-nucleotide unclassified non-coding RNA is filed under the name plant metagenome. RNAcentral's name for it is "partial contains 5.8S ribosomal RNA, internal transcribed spacer 2, and large subunit ribosomal RNA". The stretch from base 1 to 105 matches the Rfam family "5.8S ribosomal RNA", at positions 50 to 154 of the family's 154-position model. The record is from RNAcentral.